GAAGCGUGUCGUGGUAUUUCGCGUAUUGUAAUUUCAACACGAGCGGGGUCAAAUCCUUUGCAGACGACUUAGCUGUGCGAAACGGUCCUGUAAGCAGUAGAGUAGCCUUGUUGUUACGAUCUGCUGAGGGUAAGCCGUCCUUCGCCUCGAUUU
RNAcentral lists this ribosomal RNA (153 nucleotides) under Fusarium mexicanum. Its description in RNAcentral is "partial 28S ribosomal RNA". It matches the Rfam family "Eukaryotic large subunit ribosomal RNA", at positions 3247 to 3399 of the family's 3401-position model. The record is from RNAcentral. Lineage: Eukaryota; Fungi; Ascomycota; Sordariomycetes; Hypocreales; Nectriaceae.